AGUUUGAUCCUGGCUCAGGACGAACGCUGGCGGCGUGCCUAACACAUGCAAGUCGAACGGAACUGUUUUGAAAGAUUUCUUCGGAAUGAAUUUGAUUUAGUUUAGUGGCGGACGGGUGAGUAACGCGUGAGUAACCUGCCUUCAAGAGGGGGAUAACAUUCUGAAAAGAAUGCUAAUACCGCAUGACAUAUCGGAACCACAUGGUUUUGAUAUCAAAGAUUUUAUCGCUUGAAGAUGGACUCGCGUCCGAUUAGUUAGUUGGUGAGGUAACGGCUCACCAAGACCGCGAUCGGUAGCCGGACUGAGAGGUUGAACGGCCACAUUGGGACUGAGACACGGCCCAGACUCCUACGGGAGGCAGCAGUGGGGGAUAUUGCGCAAUGGGGGCAACCCUGACGCAGCAACGCCGCGUGAAGGAUGAAGGUUUUCGGAUUGUAAACUUCUUUUAUUAAGGACGAAACUUGACGGUACUUAAUGAAUAAGCUCCGGCUAACUACGUGCCAGCAGCCGCGGUAAUACGUAGGGAGCAAGCGUUGUCCGGAUUUACUGGGUGUAAAGGGUGCGUAGGCGGCUUUGCAAGUCAGAUGUGAAAUCUAUGGGCUCAACCCAUAAACUGCAUUUGAAACUGUAGAGCUUGAGUGAAGUAGAGGCAGGCGGAAUUCCCCGUGUAGCGGUGAAAUGCGUAGAGAUGGGGAGGAACACCAGUGGCGAAGGCGGCCUGCUGGGCUUUAACUGACGCUGAGGCACGAAAGCGUGGGUAGCAAACAGGAUUAGAUACCCUGGUAGUCCACGCUGUAAACGAUGAUUACUGGGUGUGGGGGGUCUGACCCCUUCCGUGCCGGAGUUAACACAAUAAGUAAUCCACCUGGGGAGUACGGCCGCAAGGUUGAAACUCAAAUGAAUUGACGGA
RNAcentral lists this ribosomal RNA (910 nucleotides) under uncultured bacterium. Its description in RNAcentral is "bacterial SSU rRNA". It matches the Rfam family "Bacterial small subunit ribosomal RNA", at positions 10 to 917 of the family's 1533-position model. The record is from RNAcentral.